RNAcentral lists this ribosomal RNA (468 nucleotides) under uncultured bacterium. RNAcentral describes it as "partial 16S ribosomal RNA". It matches the Rfam family "Bacterial small subunit ribosomal RNA", at positions 28 to 507 of the family's 1533-position model. The record is from RNAcentral.
GACGAACGCUGGCGGCGUGCUUAACACAUGCAAGUCGAACGGAAGGGCCCUGCUUUUGUGGGGUGCUCGAGUGGCGAACGGGUGAGUAACACGUGAGUAACCUGCCCUUGACUUUGGGAUAACUUCAGGAAACUGGGGCUAAUACCGGAUAGGAGCUCCUGCUGCAUGGUGGGGGUUGGAAAGUUUCGGCGGUUGGGGAUGGACUCGCGGCUUAUCAGCUUGUUGGUGGGGUAGUGGCUUACCAAGGCUUUGACGGGUAGCCGGCCUGAGAGGGUGACCGGCCACAUUGGGACUGAGAGACGGCCCAGACUCCUACGGGAGGCAGCAGUGGGGAAUAUGGCACAAUGGGCGGAAGCCUGAUGCAGCAACGCCGCGUGCGGGAUGACGGCCUUCGGGUUGUAAACCGCUGUCGCCUGUGACGAAGCGUGAGUGACGGUAAUGGGUAAAGAAGCACCGGCUAACUACGUG